RNAcentral lists this ribosomal RNA (280 nucleotides) under Dialister succinatiphilus YIT 11850. RNAcentral describes it as "partial 16S ribosomal RNA". It matches the Rfam family "Bacterial small subunit ribosomal RNA", at positions 524 to 805 of the family's 1533-position model. Lineage: Bacteria; Bacillati; Bacillota; Negativicutes; Veillonellales; Veillonellaceae. The record is from RNAcentral.
UACGUAGGUGGCAAGCGUUGUCCGGAAUUAUUGGGCGUAAAGCGCGCGCAGGCGGCUUCUUAAGUCCAUCUUAAAAGUGCGGGGCUUAACCCCGUGAUGGGAUGGAAACUGAGAGGCUGGAGUAUCGGAGAGGAAAGUGGAAUUCCUAGUGUAGCGGUGAAAUGCGUAGAGAUUAGGAAGAACACCGGUGGCGAAGGCGACUUUCUGGACGACAACUGACGCUGAGGCGCGAAAGCGUGGGGAGCAAACAGGAUUAGAUACCCUAGUAGGCUGACUGACU